UAGAUCCUCCUCGGUCUCGGUCUCCAUGUCUCGAGAGCGUCUCUUGUAGACCUGCGAGCACACAUAUCACAGAAUCCCAUGGAUCUUCGUAUCACUGCUCUAUAAAAUUCAAGUUAUUUCGUCACGCUUUUUUGUUUAUCUCAAUUUCUUCAUAUAAAUAUGAACGCUUUAUCACGCUAAUUACUUCUACGAAUAGUUUUUUUGUCAGUUGGAGCGUACUCUUUUGAUGAAAAUUCGAACGAUUUAUUAUUUCGAUUUUUUUCGGUAUUAUCUGGUUUUUCAUUGUUUUCCGAUCAUAUUUUGUAAAUUAUUCUUCUCUGCCAUUUCAUAUGGAAACUCAUUGCGAGAAGAAUAAAUGGCUCCAAAGUAUUUUUCACGUGAUUAAAAUUGUGUUGUGACCAGUUGUGAUUUUCAGUGAUGGAGCAAUAUUCAUCGCGAAUAUUGUAUUGUGGAGCAGAGGAGCGAGGGAUAAAACUGGAAAAAGGGAGUUUCAGGGCAGAGAAAAGGAGCCGGCAGAAGAAGAAGAAGAGAAGGGAGAGGGGUGAGGUGUGACCUCACACCCGCUCGGCGUGUACACCACUAGACAUACCACAGAGAAGAUGCUGAUGCGGAAGCGAAGUCAGACAGGCAUAGACGGUGAAGCCAAGGGCUUCAUUAUUCAAAGGGUGUCAGGCGUCUUGCGUUCUGCCGGUCCGCUGAUCGCGUGUUAAGUUAACGGGCCUCGCGCAAGAACCGUCACAGAGAAAACGUGACAGCCGAAUGCGGGGACACUUUACUGGAGUUAUUGAGCAUGAAAAUAGUUAUCGAACAACAUUCUCAUCGAAAAUGUUGCGUUCGCGUGAGGCACGCUUCGUUUAGAAAUCCCUUUAUCAAGGGCUUAAAGGAAAGUGUAAAUUUACAAUUGUCGGGCGAAUAAGAGAGUGGGGAAAUGAGAAGGAGUCGGUGGAGUAAGAGAGCAGACGAUUCUCCUUCGGAAUAUGGCACACACGACGUAGAAUUUUCGAGAAGACACCCCGAGAAAGGAUCACUUUGGAGGAAUCUCAUCGGUGGCUGUGUCAAAAGUGAAGGAUAAAAGAUGGAGGAAGAGAUGAACGCAUUUCGAAGUGAGUGAGAGACCAGAGAGCUUUAUAUGCUCAGAUUCAUCGAGUUGGAAGGUUCCCAGUUCCAGACACGUCACGAGAUACAGUAAAACCAGCAGAAUAUAUACAUGGCGCAGCUAGAAUGACAAGAGCGGAAGCUCCGAGGAGGAAGAAGAGAUGCAAAUACAUCGAUGAUCUUUCCAUGCCGUGAGGACCCAUAAAGUGCAGUACACACCGAAGGCAUAUAGAAGCAAAGUACCAAGAGUCUUUGCCGUACCGCAUGCCUCCGUGCUUUCCGGUAGAGUAGAAAGAGAGAUGGGAAUUGGGAGGGAGCUUUCGGUAGCAUGGAUAUCGCUUCGUAUGUGCCCGGAAGGCGAAAACUUCAUAUAUACUGUGAAAGGGAAGAAGACAGAGGGGGAGAGUGAGAGUGAGAAGCAACGUGCCUUUCGCAAUACACACCCUUUCCUUCGCAGGGUUAUAUUCACUGUGCGAUAUUUCGUGGAGCGUGUACCAGCCAUGAGUUCGAGAAUGGAUGGAGAGAUUUGAAGGAGAAAGACGUGUGCGUAUGAGGAUUGCGGCCUCUUGUGGAUCCGUAUGAACAUAUGAUGAAGCGUGUGUUGCUUGUAUCACAUGUUCAAGAGCACAUACACUUCGAGGCAUGUCUUUGGUGAGCGCGCACCUCUCUCCUCUCUCUCUCAUUCCAAAUAGAAGGUGGGCUAAGAGGACCAAGAUAAAAAGAGACGGAUAUCUCUGUGCAGGGAGAUUGUGAAUCUGUGCUGUGUUAUGGAUAUCCGAAAGAGAGGCUUCACGUAAAUGGAACUGUGAGCCACGAGCUACGAAUCUGCAGUGGGGCUUGUAGAAAGCAGUCAAUCUUACAGAAGAGCGAUCACAGAAUGAUGCUGCAAACGGUGAAGCCUAGACUCUGUAAGCUUCGUCGUCAACGACGAUGCAGAGAGAAAGAUAGAGAGAGAGAGAGAAUCAAGCGAUGGGGAGGAUACAAGCGUGACGAGUCUCCUUGUAAAUCGCAUCACAGAUCAAACACGGAAGCUUGUAUAUUAAACGUAACAUGGUAUAUAUAAGGAUUCGGUAGGCACACGAAUGAGCGAUCCUUCUGACGUUUCUAUCCAAAACCUUCGCUCACCGGGUCAAACCACUUCUACGUCACUUCUCAUAAGCAUACACCAUCUACGGAUAUAAAUAUUCAUGGGGAUGUGGCUUCGUGAAAAACAUUCCGGAAAGACCUUCCAUGAGGAUCGACCCUUUCAACUGCAAGAAUUGACUCCGGAUGGUUACAACGAACAGAACUCAAGAAUUUAGGGUCAUUCGAAUGUUGCUCAAACUGCAAAGUUAUUUCUUCAGGCUCCGUUGACAGUGGCUGACAAUGUUAAGAGCUGCGGCAACAUCCUGACAUUGAGUUUUAAAAAAGCUGUGACAGGCCCUGCUGCUGUAUACGCGAAUAUGAUCGUUUCCGGAUUCUUGUACCAUCUGUUCGCGUCGCUUUUGUGAAAGAGAGCCUUUUUCAUUUUGUUAUUAUUUUCCCUAUUGGUCUUUGUUAAAAAUCGAUUCUUCCACCCAAUCUGAAGAUAUGAUAAAGCAAUGUGUUGAAAUAUAAUGUUUUGAGAGAAAGGUC
This 2709-nucleotide long non-coding RNA is filed under the name Venturia canescens. RNAcentral describes it as "uncharacterized LOC122406939". Lineage: Eukaryota; Metazoa; Arthropoda; Insecta; Hymenoptera; Ichneumonidae. The record is from RNAcentral.